This 69-nucleotide transfer RNA is filed under the name Coelorinchus caelorhincus (hollowsnout grenadier). Its description in RNAcentral is "tRNA-Asp". It matches the Rfam family "tRNA". Rfam says of the family: Transfer RNA (tRNA) molecules are approximately 80 nucleotides in length. Their secondary structure includes four short double-helical elements and three loops (D, anti-codon, and T loops). Lineage: Eukaryota; Metazoa; Chordata; Actinopteri; Gadiformes; Macrouridae. The record is from RNAcentral.
GAGCUCCUGGUGAAACCAUCACACUGCUUUGUCAAGGCUGAUUUGUGGGUUAAAAUCCCGCGUAGCUCU